UGAUGUAUACGCAGGGCCAUUAU
This 23-nucleotide unclassified non-coding RNA is filed under the name Mus musculus (house mouse). Its description in RNAcentral is "oocyte_clustered_small_RNA3997". The record is from RNAcentral. Lineage: Eukaryota; Metazoa; Chordata; Mammalia; Rodentia; Muridae.